UUCAUUGUUUUAGGUAUUACAAGUAAACUAGAGAUGAUUUGAGGCAUACGAGACCAGGUAUGUAGGUUAUAUGAAAAUACUGUGCCACUUUAUACCAGGGACUUGAGCAUCUGUAGAUUUUGCUAUCCGUGGGUCCUGGGAUCAAUCCUUUGUGGAUACCAAGAGACAACUGUAUUAACAUUUUAAGAAACUGGUAACCACAAGUGCCUCUGACACCUUAACUUCUUUCCAUGACCUUUGUCUGUUUCAGCUAUGACUUUAACGGAAGGUGGUGGGUAGACUUCACCACAGUGGGAAAAGGGUGGCGACAAAUGGAUUCUGCAUAAUCUUCUUAAUGUGACAACUUUCCAUUUCAAACAGGCAGGCACUGAGACAUCAAAGCAGCCAAGUGCCGCCCUGACGUUGAGCCCACCGAGUGCUGAGUGCCGCGUGCCGCGAGGCUGCUGCUGUUGGCUCUGCGUGAUCAGGAGAGCGGAGAUCAAAGGUGCCCAUUAUGUGCUGAAAUACCUGAAGUUGGAAAACACCACAAGAAAGCCAAGUGGAACCCCUCAUGCUGGAAGCUGA
Molecule: long non-coding RNA, 564 nt
Filed under: Papio anubis (olive baboon)
Lineage: Eukaryota; Metazoa; Chordata; Mammalia; Primates; Cercopithecidae
Description: lncRNA (ENSPANG00000050613.1)
Source: RNAcentral